Molecule: ribosomal RNA, 436 nt
Filed under: uncultured bacterium
Lineage: Bacteria
Description: bacterial SSU rRNA
Rfam family: Bacterial small subunit ribosomal RNA
Source: RNAcentral
UGACGAAGCGACGCCGCGUGUGGGAAGAAGGCCUUCGGGUUGUAAACCACUGUCGGGAGUUAAGAAAUACAAGGAUAUUAAUAGUGUCUUUGUUUGACUAAGGCUCCGGAGGAAGCCACGGCUAACUCUGUGCCAGCAGCCGCGGUAAUACAGAGGCGGCAAGCGUUGUUCGGAAUUAUUGGGCGUAAAGAGCACGUAGGCGGCUACGUAAGUCGGUUGUGAAAGCCUUCCGCUUAACGGAAGAACAGCAGCUGAUACUACAAAGCUUGAGUACGGAAGGGGAGAGUGGAACUUCUGGUGGAGCGGUGAAAUGCGUAGAUAUCAGAAGGAACGCCGGCGGCGAAAGCGGCUCUCUGGUCCGAAACUGACGCUGAGUGUGCGAAAGCUAGGGGAUCAAACGGGAUUAGAUACCCCGGUAGUCCUAGCCGUAAACGAU